RNAcentral lists this ribosomal RNA (492 nucleotides) under uncultured bacterium. RNAcentral describes it as "partial 16S ribosomal RNA". It matches the Rfam family "Bacterial small subunit ribosomal RNA", at positions 29 to 507 of the family's 1533-position model. The record is from RNAcentral.
AGUGAACGCUGGCGGUAGGCCUAACACAUGCAAGUCGAACGGCAGCACAGUAAGAGCUUGCUCUUACGGGUGGCGAGUGGCGGACGGGUGAGGAAUACAUCGGAAUCUACUUUUUCGUGGGGGAUAACGUAGGGAAACUUACGCUAAUACCGCAUACGACCUACGGGUGAAAGCAGGGGAUCUUCGGACCUUGCGCGAUUGAAUGAGCCGAUGUCGGAUUAGCUAGUUGGCGGGGUAAAGGCCCACCAAGGCGACGAUCCGUAGCUGGUCUGAGAGGAUGAUCAGCCACACUGGAACUGAGAAACGGUCCAGACUCCUACGGGAGGCAGCAGUGGGGACUAUUGGACAAUGGGGGAAAGCCUGAUCCAGCCAUACCGCGUGGGUGCAGAAGGCCUUCGGGUUGUAAAGCCAUUUUGUUGGGAAAGAAAAGCAGCAGGUUAAUACCCCGCUGUUCUGACGGUACCCAAAGAAUAAGCACCGGCUAACUUCGUG